RNAcentral lists this non-coding RNA (23 nucleotides) under Arabidopsis thaliana (thale cress). Lineage: Eukaryota; Viridiplantae; Streptophyta; Magnoliopsida; Brassicales; Brassicaceae. The record is from RNAcentral.
AUGUGUGUAGACUGCCGUGCAAU